AGACGACUCAAGGGGGCAUCGCCAUCGCAGCCGAUGCUCCCUUGAGUCGUCUCGA
RNAcentral lists this microRNA precursor (55 nucleotides) under Heligmosomoides polygyrus. RNAcentral describes it as "microRNA hpo-mir-10096 precursor". Lineage: Eukaryota; Metazoa; Nematoda; Chromadorea; Rhabditida; Heligmosomidae. The record is from miRBase by way of RNAcentral.